RNAcentral lists this ribosomal RNA (213 nucleotides) under uncultured bacterium. RNAcentral's name for it is "partial 16S ribosomal RNA". It matches the Rfam family "Bacterial small subunit ribosomal RNA", at positions 583 to 793 of the family's 1533-position model. The record is from RNAcentral.
CUAAGUCUGAUGUGAAAGCCUUCGGCUUAACCGGAGAAGUGCAUCGGAAACUGGAUAACUUGAGUGCAGAAGAGGGUAGUGGAAACUCCAUGUGUAGCGGUGGAAUGCGUAGAUAUAUGGAAGAACACCAGUGGCGAAGGCGGCUACCUGGUCUGCAACUGACGCUGACGACUCGAAAGCAUGGGUAGCGAACAGGAUUAGAUACCCUGGUAG